This 73-nucleotide transfer RNA is filed under the name Sarcophilus harrisii (Tasmanian devil). It matches the Rfam family "tRNA". Rfam says of the family: Transfer RNA (tRNA) molecules are approximately 80 nucleotides in length. Their secondary structure includes four short double-helical elements and three loops (D, anti-codon, and T loops). Further hydrogen bonds mediate the characteristic L-shaped molecular structure. tRNAs have two regions of fundamental functional importance: the anti-codon, which is responsible for specific mRNA codon recognition, and the 3' end, to which the tRNAs corresponding amino acid is attached (by aminoacyl-tRNA synthetases). tRNAs cope with the degeneracy of the genetic code in two manners: having more than one tRNA (with a specific anti-codon) for a particular amino acid; and 'wobble' base-pairing, i.e. permitting non-standard base-pairing at the 3rd anti-codon position. Lineage: Eukaryota; Metazoa; Chordata; Mammalia; Dasyuromorphia; Dasyuridae. The record is from Rfam by way of RNAcentral.
GACCGGCUAGUUCAGCUGGUAGAGCAUGAGAUUCUUAAUCUCAGGGUCAUGGGUUUGUGCCCCACGUUGGGCG